RNAcentral lists this non-coding RNA (21 nucleotides) under Caenorhabditis elegans. The record is from RNAcentral. Lineage: Eukaryota; Metazoa; Nematoda; Chromadorea; Rhabditida; Rhabditidae.
UCAAAAAUGCGUCCUCCUGUG